GAGUUUGAUCAUGGCUCAGGACAAACGCUGGCGGCAUGCCUAACACAUGCAAGUCGAACGGACAAGUUAGCGGAAAUUUUUCGGAAUGGAAGCUAAUGCGUUAGUGGCGGAUGGGUGAGUAACGCGUGGAUAACCUGCCUCUAAAUGGGGAAUAACUACGAGAAAUCGUAGCUAAUACCGCAUAAUAUCUCUUUAUUGCAUGAUAGAGAGAGGAAAGACGGCCUUAGUGCUGUCGUUUAGAGAUGGAUCCGCGUCUGAUUAGCUAGUUGGUGAGGUAAGGGCUCACCAAGGCGACGAUCAGUAGCCGGCCUGAGAGGGUGAACGGCCACAUUGGGACUGAGACACGGCCCAAACUCCUACGGGAGGCAGCAGUGGGGAAUCUUCCGCAAUGGGCGCAAGCCUGACGGAGCAAUGCCGCGUGAGUGAAGAAGGCCUUCGGGUUGUAAAACUCUGUCCUUAUCGAAGAGAGAGAAGAGUAGUAACUGACUUUUCUAGGACGGUAGAUGAGGAGGAG
RNAcentral lists this ribosomal RNA (514 nucleotides) under Peptococcus sp. canine oral taxon 044. Its description in RNAcentral is "bacterial SSU rRNA". It matches the Rfam family "Bacterial small subunit ribosomal RNA", at positions 9 to 489 of the family's 1533-position model. Lineage: Bacteria; Bacillati; Bacillota; Clostridia; Eubacteriales; Peptococcaceae. The record is from RNAcentral.